RNAcentral lists this ribosomal RNA (429 nucleotides) under Acidobacteriota bacterium. RNAcentral's name for it is "Acidobacteria bacterium partial 16S ribosomal RNA". It matches the Rfam family "Bacterial small subunit ribosomal RNA", at positions 355 to 776 of the family's 1533-position model. Lineage: Bacteria; Pseudomonadati; Acidobacteriota. The record is from RNAcentral.
UGGGGAAUAUUGGGCAAUGGGGGAAACCCUGAUCCAGCCAUCCCGCGUGUGCGAUGAAGGCCUUCGGGUUGUAAAGCACUUUUGGCAGGAAAGAAACGUCAUGGGUUAAUACCGCGUGAAACGGACGGUACCUGCAGAAUAAGCACCGGAUAACUACGUGCCAGCAGCCGCGGUAAUACGUAGGGGGCAAGCGUUAAUCGGAAUUACUGGGCGUAAAGCGUGCGCAGGCGGUUCGGAAAGAAAGAUGUGAAAUCCCAGAGCUCAACCUGUGAGCUGCAUUUUUAACUGCCGGGCUAGAGUGUGUCAGAGGGAGGUGGAAUUCCGAGUGUAGCGGUGAAAUGCGUAGAUAUGCGGAGGAACACCGAUGGCGAAGGCAGCCUCCUGGGAUAACACUGACGCUCAUGCACGAAAGCGUGGGGAGCAAACAGG